Molecule: ribosomal RNA, 468 nt
Filed under: uncultured bacterium
Lineage: Bacteria
Description: partial 16S ribosomal RNA
Rfam family: Bacterial small subunit ribosomal RNA
Source: RNAcentral
GACGAACGCUGGCGGCGUGCUUAACACAUGCAAGUCGAACGGAAAGGCCCUGCUUUUGUGGGGUGCUCGAGUGGCGAACGGGUGAGUAACCCGUGAGUAACCUGCCCUUGACUUUGGGAUAACUUCAGGAAACUGGGGCUAAUACCGGAUAGGAGCUCCUGCUGCAUGGUGGGGGGUGGAAAGUUUCGGCGGUUGGGGAUGGACUCGCGGCUUAUCAGCUUGUUGGUGGGGUAGUGGCUUACCGAGGCUUUGACGGGUAGCCGGCCUGAGAAGGUGACCGGCCACAUGGGUACUGAGGUACGGCCCAGACUCCUACGGGAGGCAGCAGUGGGGAAUAUUGCACAAUGGGCGGAAGCCUGAUGCAGCAACGCCGCGUGCGGGAUGACGGCCUUCGGGUUGUAAACCGCUUUCGCCUGUGACGGAGCGUGAGUGACGGUAAUGGGUAAAGAAGCACCGGCUAACUACGUG